CCUACGGGGGGCAGCAGUGAGGAAUAUUGGUCAAUGGACGAGAGUCUGAACCAGCCAAGUAGCGUGAAGGAUGACUGCCCUAUGGGUUGUAAACUUCUUUUAUAUGGGAAUAAAAUGUUCCACGUGUGGGAUUUUGUAUGUACCAUAUGAAUAAGGAUCGGCUAACUCCGGGCCAGCAGCCGCGGUAAUACGGAGGAUCCGAGCGUUAUCCGGAUUUAUUGGGUUUAAAGGGAGCGUAGGUGGAUUGUUAAGUCAGUUGUGAAAGUUUGCGGCUCAACCGUAAAAUUGCAGUUGAAACUGGCAGUCUUGAGUACAGUAGAGGUGGGCGGAAUUCGUGGUGUAGCGGUGAAAUGCUUAGAUAUCACGAAGAACUCCGAUUGCGAAGGCAGUUCACUGGACUGCAACUGACACUGAGGCUCGAAAGUGUGGGUAUCAAACAGGAUUAGAUACCCCAGUAGUC
RNAcentral lists this ribosomal RNA (460 nucleotides) under uncultured bacterium. RNAcentral's name for it is "partial 16S ribosomal RNA". It matches the Rfam family "Bacterial small subunit ribosomal RNA", at positions 338 to 795 of the family's 1533-position model. The record is from RNAcentral.